ACGUCUUGCCUGUGGUCUGGUACGAAUUCUAUGGUAGGAUUUACCAUGAAAUGUUAUAAGGUUGAUGGGGUAUCUAAAAUGGUAACUACAUAAUACAGUGGUGUUCUACCCUGGUAUAUGGGUAUCACUAUAAAAUAUGGGGUUAUGGCUAUGGAAACUUGGUCUUCAGUCAGGAUCUAUCAUAAAUGGAAAAUAAUGCCAAACUGCCAAACUAGAUGAUUUAAUAUAAAACUUCUAAAUAAACUAUUACUGGCACGAAGUAUUAUAUACCUUUCUGGUGGCUGGAGAUACAUCCAUAUUCAUAUAUGGUAUAGAAUGAAACUAAGGUGUGGUCUGGUGGCUAUCUACCAAGGUACUGACAAUUUUGGCAGAUUCGGGCUGCUAUUUAUAGUCUGGGACGCUGGGUGGCUAGCUUGGCUAGGGUGCCUAGCUUGGCAGUAUCGUCAUCGUCUUCGAUGACGUCACUGCCAAUCUCGCGCGGGCAGAAAUUUAGCCAGUACCAGCUGCCAUGUUUAAAUUGGCAGCGUGUGGCUAAUUGAACAUUAAAACGGCUACAACGUAGAAAAUAAGUUAUUUUAAGUAAUAUAACCAUCGUAAAUAUUAAAAGGAUGAAGUUAUCUGUACAUGUAGUGUAUGUUUUGAUGAUUAAAAGUUGAUGUCAUGAAGUACAGUUAAUUACUUUAGUACUUGAGUAGUUUCCGGAUACGGGUUUAUUUUCGGACGUAAAAUGAUGGGCCUGAUCGUUACAUUGCACCCCGCUCACAUGGAUUCAGCCCCUGAAUAGUAGGAAGGUAAGUAUAUUUACAGUCGGAAGGUUUAUCAUUUUACCUAAAUAAUGUCAUUGGUAACACGACAUAAUGAAAUAAUUAUAUUAUCGGGUAAUUAUCAUUUGAUAAUUGGUUAUUACACUAAUUAGACAGAGGAGUUAAUUAGUUUAACUGUAUAAUUUGUCAAACUUGGUAUGUAACAGUUUAAGUCAUAGACACAUCAUAUUAAUGCAUAUAUAAAUUAUUAUACAUGCAUAGUAAUAAUUAAAAUUUGCUAAAUAUUUGCAAAUUUUCCAUGUAGGAACAUACAUGUACGUAUUGUCGGAAUUGACAAUAUAAUUUAUGGAUGUUGUAAAAUUACAACUUCAAUUAUAUGGCAUAAACAAAUUAAUCAUAUAAAGGGUCAUGUAUACAGGUAACAUUCACUCGGCACAGUCAAACAUUAAAAUAUCGCAUUCAAAUAUAGAGCGCUCUAUUAAUACAUUCAUAAAUAAAUACAUGUAUUUAAUAUUUACAGUGAAUAGAGAGCUUGGGUGUAUUGGUUAGUUGGUCACCUGGAGAAGCGGUUAUUACCAACUGCUCAUCUAAACAGAAGUAUACUUCAUUACAUCCUCAGCCUAAAAUACACUCCUUACAGUGGGACACUGUACAAUCAUGGCUGGUUUGUCAUAUUACGGGAAAAAGGACCACUCUGAUGUGCAAGCAGAGGAACGAUGGUGUCCACCUGAAGUCAAUAUUUUUGAACAACAGGGAGCGGGUUAAAGUGUCCACCAGAUGAACAGGCAGUUGAGUAAACAGCUGUUCAAAUGGGAGCAGGAAGGGGGUCCACCUGAAACUCAUCAAUGUAAAGGGUUGAUUUGUAACAAGGAGCGGUGUAUUUGGAAUUCCAUGUCUUCAUUUUUGUUAAAUAUUCAUCAGCUGGAUUGGUAAGAAUAGGUUGGCCAGACAAGAAUGCAGUCAGCAAUGGGCAUUCAAAUAAGGCUAUAAUCAUGCAUCCAACCAACAAGUAAACUUGUUUGAUUGAAUGGUCAGCACCUUGGAAGAUCAAAAAUCUGGAUCAGCAAAUGAAAUGAACUAUGAUACAUAAAUAAUAAAAUGUUCUGUCUCUUGGU
This is a long non-coding RNA of Ruditapes philippinarum (Manila clam), 1879 nucleotides long. RefSeq lists it as uncharacterized. The transcript has 3 exons. NCBI's taxonomy places the organism in Eukaryota, Metazoa, Mollusca, Bivalvia, Venerida, Veneridae. The record is from RefSeq and is a predicted model, not a curated record.